This 468-nucleotide ribosomal RNA is filed under the name uncultured bacterium. RNAcentral's name for it is "partial 16S ribosomal RNA". It matches the Rfam family "Bacterial small subunit ribosomal RNA", at positions 28 to 507 of the family's 1533-position model. The record is from RNAcentral.
GAUGAACGCUGGCGGCGUGCUUAACACAUGCAAGUCGAACGGAAAGGCCCAAGCUUGCUUGGGUACUCGAGUGGCGAACGGGUGAGUAACACGUGGGUGAUCUGCCCUGCACUUCGGGAUAAGCCUGGGAAACUGGGUCUAAUACCGGAUAGGACGAUGGUUUGGAUGCCAUUGUGGAAAGUUUUUUCGGUGUGGGAUGAGCUCGCGGCCUAUCAGCUUGUUGUUGGGGUAAUGGCCUACCAAGGCGUCGACGGGUAGCCGGCCUGAGAGGGUGUACGGCCGCAUUGGGACUGGGAUACGGGCCAGACUCCUGCGGGAGGCAGCAGUGGGGAAUAUUGCACAAUGGGCGCAAGCCUGAUGCAGCGACGCCGCGUGGGGGAUGACGGCCUUCGGGUUGUAAACUCCUUUCGCUAGGGACGAAGCGUUUUUGUGACGGUACCUGGAGAAGAAGCGCCGGCUAACUACGUG